RNAcentral lists this transfer RNA (70 nucleotides) under Micromelalopha sieversi. RNAcentral's name for it is "tRNA-His". The record is from RNAcentral. Lineage: Eukaryota; Metazoa; Arthropoda; Insecta; Lepidoptera; Notodontidae.
AAUUUAAAUAAUUUAAUAAAAAUAUUGAUUUGUGGUGUCAAAAAUAUGAAAUAAAUUUCAUUUUAAGUUA